GGGGACGACAGGCUUCGACGUGGUCGGCUCGUGGGGAUGGUGGCGAGUCGAGGUCCCGGGCGGCCUCGUAAAACACCCGGGAAAACCAUAAGUGCGGACUCUCACGAGUACGCCCUCGCUGCCUAGCAAACACUAGGCGAGUGAGGUCUCGGGCCCCGCUUGCCUGCGGCGGGGAAGGCCGGGAUCAGAAAGCAGGCUCACCCGGCGAGGUCCGCCUUCGCCAAGUCGGGGAAAUCUAGGAGGCUGGUCCCCGAGAACCCCGCCGGCGAGGCGACUCGAGGAUGAGAUCAGAGCGCCGGCUACGCUCGUAGAAGCCAUUCACACGCGAUUGCGGACGUGGGUUCGAUUCCCACCGUCUCCACUG
Molecule: transfer-messenger RNA, 364 nt
Filed under: Solirubrobacteraceae
Lineage: Bacteria; Bacillati; Actinomycetota; Thermoleophilia; Solirubrobacterales
Also listed under: 1 other name
Description: Palsa-744 sp013815355 Standard tmRNA
Rfam family: transfer-messenger RNA
About the family: Bacterial tmRNA, also known as 10Sa RNA or SsrA, is named for its dual tRNA and mRNA-like properties. Its role is to liberate the mRNA from a stalled ribosome.
Source: RNAcentral